RNAcentral lists this transfer RNA (90 nucleotides) under Sphaerobolus stellatus SS14. It matches the Rfam family "tRNA". From Rfam's summary of the family: Transfer RNA (tRNA) molecules are approximately 80 nucleotides in length. Their secondary structure includes four short double-helical elements and three loops (D, anti-codon, and T loops). Lineage: Eukaryota; Fungi; Basidiomycota; Agaricomycetes; Geastrales; Sphaerobolaceae. The record is from Rfam by way of RNAcentral.
GGCAACAUGGCCGAGUGGUCUAAGGCGCCAGAAUUAGGUUCUUCCCAAAUCUGGUCCGAAAGGGCGUGAGUUCGAACCUCACUGUUGUCA